GCAGCAGCCGCGGUAACACGUAGGUGGCAAGCGUUGUCCGGAAUUAUUGGGCGUAAAGGGCUCGCAGGCGGUUUCUUAAGUCUGAUGUGAAAGCCCCCGGCUCAACCGGGGAGGGUCAUUGGAAACUGGGAAACUUGAGUGCAGAAGAGGAGAGUGGAAUUCCACGUGUAGCGGUGAAAUGCGUAGAGAUGUGGAGGAACACCAGUGGCGAAGGCGACUCUCUCGUCUGUAACUGACGCUGAGGAGCGAAAGCGUGGGGAGCGAACAGGAUUAGAUACCCGGGUAGUCCCUGUCUCUUAUAC
RNAcentral lists this ribosomal RNA (302 nucleotides) under uncultured bacterium. Its description in RNAcentral is "partial 16S ribosomal RNA". It matches the Rfam family "Bacterial small subunit ribosomal RNA", at positions 508 to 807 of the family's 1533-position model. The record is from RNAcentral.